UGGUGGGUAGUUUGACUGGGGCGGUCUCCUCCUAAAGAGUAACGGAGGAGCACGAAGGUUGGCUAAUCCUGGUCGGACAUCAGGAGGUUAGUGCAAUGGCAUAAGCCAGCUUGACUGCGAGCGUGACGGCGCGAGCAGGUGCGAAAGCAGGUCAUAGUGAUCCGGUGGUUCUGAAUGGAAGGGCCAUCGCUCAACGGAUAAAAGGUACUCCGGGGAUAACAGGCUGAUACCGCCCAAGAGUUCAUAUCGACGGCGGUGUUUGGCACCUCGAUGUCGGCUCAUCACAUCCUGGGGCUGAAGUAGGUCCCAAGGGUAUGGCUGUUCGCCAUUUAAAGUGGUACGCGAGCUGGGUUUAGAACGUCGUGAGACAGUUCGGUCCCUAUCUGCCGUGGGCGCUGGAGAACUGAGGGGGGCUGCUCCUAGUACGAGAGGACCGGAGUGGACGCAUCACUGGUGUUCGGGUUGUCAUGCCAAUGGCACUGCCCGGUAGCUAAAUGCGGAAGAGAUAAGUGCUGAAA
This 518-nucleotide ribosomal RNA is filed under the name Escherichia coli. Its description in RNAcentral is "partial 23S ribosomal RNA". It matches the Rfam family "Bacterial large subunit ribosomal RNA", at positions 2259 to 2776 of the family's 2925-position model. The record is from RNAcentral. RNAcentral also lists the same sequence under 10 other names. Lineage: Bacteria; Pseudomonadati; Pseudomonadota; Gammaproteobacteria; Enterobacterales; Enterobacteriaceae.